CCUACGGGCGGCAGCAGUGAGGAAUAUUGGUCAAUGGGCGCGAGCCUGAACCAGCCAAGUCGCGUGAGGGAGGACGGCCCUACGGGUUGUAAACCUCUUUUGCCGGGGAGCAACGGGCGUCACGUGUGGCGCCACAGAGAGGACCCGGAGAAAAAGCAGCGGCCAACUCCGUGCCAGCAGCCGCGGUAAUACGGAGGAUGCGAGCGUUAUCCGGAUUGAUUGGGUUGAAAGGGUGCGUAGGCGGAUCGUUAAGUCAGUGGUCAAAUUGAGGGGCUCAACCCCUUCCCGCCAUUGAAACUGGCGCUCUUGAGUGGAAGAGAAGUAUGCGGAAUGCGUGGUGUAGCGGUGAAAUGCAUAGAUAUCACGCAGAACCCCGAUUGCGAAGGCAGCAUGCCGGCUUCCGCCUGACGCUGAAGCACGAAAGCGUGGGGAUCGAACAGGAUUAGAUACCCGUGUAGUC
RNAcentral lists this ribosomal RNA (460 nucleotides) under uncultured bacterium. RNAcentral's name for it is "partial 16S ribosomal RNA". It matches the Rfam family "Bacterial small subunit ribosomal RNA", at positions 338 to 795 of the family's 1533-position model. The record is from RNAcentral.